CAAGUUUUCAUAUGACAAGUUUUAUUUACUGGUGUGAACGUGUCAACAAGUUUACUUUGACAAUUUAUUAGUGGCCAGCUGGCCAAUUACAUCAAAUGCUCAGAUUACUUUGACAAGUUUUCUUUGUUGACCCAUACAGACGAACAAAAUUUGUACUUUGACAAUUUUUUUCUAGCUAGCAUGCUAGCUUUUGAACAAGACAAGUGCACUUGUCAUAGAAAAACUUGUCAAAGUUGCGCGUACAGACGAGCAAAUAAAACUUGUCACAUAAAAACUUGUCAUAGAAAACUUGCUCGUCUUUAACCGGCUUAAGUAGCCUAACAAUAUACAUAGCAUAAAUUAAUUGACAUUUGUAUAUUCAUAAAUUUCAUGUAGUUUUAAAGCAGUUAAUGUUAAAAUUUUGAGACGUGUACAAUAUAUAGCUAGCACUAGUUGCAUAUUCAUAAAUUUCAUGUAGUUUUAAAAGCAGUUAUUGUUAGAAUUUUGAGAAGUGUAUAAAAUACAUAGCUAGCACUCAGGGCCGCACAGAGAAAUUCGGGAGCCCGGGGCAAAUUUUUAAUUCAGGGCCCCUAUUUAGGGGGAGUAAAAAAAAUUUCUCAGACAUAUCCAAAAAAAGGUUCAAAA
This is a non-coding RNA of Paramuricea clavata, 624 nucleotides long. NCBI's taxonomy places the organism in Eukaryota, Metazoa, Cnidaria, Anthozoa, Malacalcyonacea, Plexauridae. The record is from the annotation of a GenBank genome assembly.